AUUGCAUCUUGGCUACGAUCAUGUGAUCUGUUCUUGCCAGUUUAAUAUUUGAUAGUCUCCCCCGUCAGGAGGUGUUCACUGUAAAUGAAACAGAUUUUUGAGAACAGUGGCCUAGACUGGUGGGGUUCUCUCUACUGGGACGAGGCCUGGUCCAGGUGUUGCAGAACUUCUGGGAGUAGUCACACCCA
Small nuclear RNA from Polypterus senegalus (gray bichir), 188 nucleotides. RefSeq annotates it as U2 spliceosomal RNA. Lineage: Eukaryota; Metazoa; Chordata; Cladistia; Polypteriformes; Polypteridae. The record is from RefSeq and is a predicted model, not a curated record. The transcript has a single exon.